This 215-nucleotide long non-coding RNA is filed under the name Solanum tuberosum (potato). RNAcentral describes it as "long non-coding RNA (STUB_LNC003845)". Lineage: Eukaryota; Viridiplantae; Streptophyta; Magnoliopsida; Solanales; Solanaceae. The record is from RNAcentral.
GCGAUCGGAUUUAGUUUUUUUUUCUUAGGCUCGAGAUUAGCGGGAGUCGUCGACAUUGUAGUUGAUUGUAGGAAUAACGAUCCGGUUCAUAAUUGCAUGGUGAUCAAAGAAGUAAUUGAUAUCGCUAAUCAUCAAUUUUGGUUAAUUAAGUGAGAGAAAUUUGAUACUAAAAUGGAAAUUAGGAUUGGGAAAUCCAGAUUUUGGGAUAAUUAAAG